UUAUCGUCGUAGCACUCGACUGCACUAAGCCUGUCCUUCUCUCUCUCUCUCUCUAGAGCCAUGGUGCUUCACUUCGAGUUCCCCUUCUUCGUCAUCCUCGCGACCCUCCUCCUCCUCUGCGUCGUCGUGGCCAAACUCCGCGACAUGGCCGAGGCGCGAACCGCCGCCGAACCGGCUUCGCCGUCGAGCCCCGGAUCGCGCAAGGACUCAGCCGGCGACGAACCCGUCGCGUCUCGGGGCGAUGAUCGAACGGCGAGGGAAGUCGGGACCGCCGGUUCCGAGGGUUCGGAUGGAGUUCGUGCCGGAACCGGGACGGAACUGUGGACGAAAGAGUUCCGAGGAGGAUCGGUCGGCGGAGACAACGACGACUGGGAGGGGGUGGAGAGAAGCGAGUGGGCGAGGCUUUUCGGGCGGGCCGUCCGGUUCGCGUGCUCGGCGCGGAAUGCCGGUUUGAUCUCGGGGAUCCACGGCGAGCCGACGGCGAAGCUGUACGGGCUCCACAAGGUCGCGCUCGAGGGGCCGUGCGGCGACCGCCGGCCGAUGGCGUUCAGGGUCUCGGCUAGAGCCAAGUGGAAUGCUUGGCGACAGCUUGGGAACACGAGCCCGGAGGUUGCCAUGGAGGAAUACAUCAAUCUUCUCUCAGAAAAAUUUCCCAACUGGAUGCAGAACGAUGGGGUCUAUUUGUUCUGUUCUUUUGCUGGUGCUUUCUUGGUCAGGAGGAAGAAGAAGAAGAAGAUUGUACAGAUGCCGAAACAUUUUGGAAGCUAAUCUGCAAUCUGAGGACAGUGAUGGAGCAGCAAACGAAAAGAAAACUGACCGAAACAGAUCACAGAAGCUGAAUCCUGCGACAUGAUCCUGAUGUCACUGGGCUCCAUGAUGCAGACAAGACUUUGGUGAACGAGGCACAUCAAGAGAUUGUACAGGCAAUUAUUUUGAUUAGGGAGAGGAUUAUAACUCUUAGUCUAGCCAUUGAAGUUUAUCUUAGCUGAUAGUAAACUUAGGUUUCAUUUUGCACGUUUUAGGAUCAACAAAGUACAAUCUUCUAUGUAAAUUUAUGACCUCAUGAGAAAAUGGUGCUUCUUCU
This is an RNA transcript of Syzygium oleosum, 1084 nucleotides long. It is a transcript of the gene named acyl-CoA-binding domain-containing protein 5-like, with no coding region annotated. The transcript has 4 exons. NCBI's taxonomy places the organism in Eukaryota, Viridiplantae, Streptophyta, Magnoliopsida, Myrtales, Myrtaceae. The record is from RefSeq and is a predicted model, not a curated record.